This 646-nucleotide ribosomal RNA is filed under the name uncultured Ornithinimicrobium sp. Its description in RNAcentral is "bacterial SSU rRNA". It matches the Rfam family "Bacterial small subunit ribosomal RNA", at positions 235 to 885 of the family's 1533-position model. The record is from RNAcentral. Lineage: Bacteria; Bacillati; Actinomycetota; Actinomycetes; Micrococcales; Ornithinimicrobiaceae.
GGCCUAUCAACUUGUUGGUGGGGUGAUGGCCUACCAAGGCGACGACGGGUAGCCGGCCUGAGAGGGUGAUCGGCCACAUUGGGACUGAGAUACGGCCCAGACUCCUACGGGGAGGCAGCAGUGGGGAAUAUUGCACAAUGGGCGGAAGCCUGGAUGCANCGACGCCGCGUGAGGGAUGACGGCCUUCGGGUUGUAAACCUCUUUCAGCAGGGACGAAGCGUAAGUGACGGUACCUGCAGAAGAAGCACCGGCUAACUACGCGCCAGCAGCCGCGGUAAUACGUAGGGUGCGAGCGUUGUCCGGAAUUAAUGGGCGUAAAGAGCUUGUAGGCGGCUUGUCGCGUCUGCUGUUAAAGCCCGGGGCUUAACCCCGGGUCUGCAGUGGGUACGGGCAGGCUAGAGUGUGGUAGGGGGAGACUGGAAUUCCUGGUGUAGCGGUGGAAUGCGCAGAUAUCAGGAGGACCACCGAUGGCGAAGGCAGGUCUACUGGGCCAUUACUGACGGUGAGAAGCGAAAGCGUGGGGAGCGAACAGGAUUAGAUACCCUGGUAGUCCACGCUGUAAACGUUGGGCGCUAGGUAGUGGGUCCCAUUCCACGGGGUGCCGUGCUGCAGCUAACGCAUUAAGCGCCCCGCCUGGGGAGUACGG